CGAGCCUAGCCGCUUGGUGUACGCGGCCUCCCGGAAGCACUCCAUGCACACCGCCGUCAGCUUCACCACGCUCUCCGCCAGGGGCACCAGGUUCAGGAUGGUCCCAAAGGCCUACGCUCCCAGCAAAGGACAGCAGGUCUGGGGUCCUGGGAGGGCCUCAGCCCCCCUCCUGCCCACUGCGCCGACGCCAACAUUCGAAGAGCUCACAUCGUCCCCUGCUCACAUGCCACCUCCCUGGGAAGGGGCCCCCAGCAGGGGUUCCCGACGUCUCCAAGCAGGGGCGCCCGGGAGGGAAAGUACCAGCAGAGGUUCUUGCUGGCGGCGAGCUGGCCCACCGGCGUCCAGCUGCCCCGUCCAUACCUCCCGGCAACCGGCGGUGAGCCACUUCCUAAAGGAGCUUCGACUCGGGGGAAAGAACCCAGAGCCAAGCUUAGGAAGCCUUGGAGGGGAUUUGCACCUGCGUCAUCAAGAAGAAAGGGUAGCGGAUAAACAUGGAAACAGGACUACGAGGGUCUUGGAAACAAAAGAGAAAUGCAGUGGAGUAGGGUGUAUGGGUGUGUGUGCACUGGUGUGUACGUGUGUGCACACGUGGGCACGCUCCAGCACCCGCCCUUCACGCCUCUCCUGGGGAUUUCUGCAAAGGCCUGGUGGUCACACUGCCCUCUCCACCUGCCGUCCACUCUCCUGCCCGGAGCCACCCACCUCCCUCCUACCCAAGACACACGCCACCAGCCAGCCACUCACUCCCUGGUUCUCUCCCAGGCCCCUUUCUGACCACCCCACCUUAGCUCUGUCCCCCUGAUGUGCCUUUCCCCCCAGUUGUCUCCACCUGACCUGUGACGUCAUUCUCUUCCUGGGCUAGAGUGUAAGCACAGGGGUAGAGACGCUGACUGGAUCCCCAACACCAAGAACACGGCUGGCAUGGGGCACAGGCCCGGAAAGUACUGAUGGAUGGAUGGAUGGAUGGAUGGGACUGGCCCUUUGACCAGCAAUUCCACU
Lutra lutra (Eurasian river otter) is the source of this 999-nucleotide long non-coding RNA. RefSeq lists it as uncharacterized. The record is from RefSeq and is a predicted model, not a curated record. The transcript has 3 exons. Lineage: Eukaryota; Metazoa; Chordata; Mammalia; Carnivora; Mustelidae.